This 301-nucleotide ribosomal RNA is filed under the name uncultured bacterium. RNAcentral's name for it is "partial 16S ribosomal RNA". It matches the Rfam family "Bacterial small subunit ribosomal RNA", at positions 509 to 807 of the family's 1533-position model. The record is from RNAcentral.
CAGUCGCCACGGUAAUACGUAGGUGGCAAGCGUUGCCCGGAAUUAUUGGGCGUAAAGGGCUCGCAGGCGGUUUCUUAAGUCUGAUGUGAAAGCCCCCGGCUCAACCGGGGAGGGUCAUUGGAAACUGGGAAACUUGAGUGCAGAAGAGGAGAGUGGAAUUCCACGUGUAGCGGUGAAAUGCGUAGAGAUGUGGAGGAACACCAGUGGCGAAGGCGACUCUCUGGUCUGUAACUGACGCUGAGGAGCGAAAGCGUGGGGAGCGAACAGGAUUAGAUACCCCAGUAGUCCCUGUCUCUUAUAC